GGUUAAGCGACUAAGCGUACACGGUGGAUGCCCUGGCAGUCAGAGGCGAUGAAGGACGUGCUAAUCUGCGAAAAGCGUCGGUAAGGUGAUAUGAACCGUUAUAACCGGCGAUGUCCGAAUGGGGAAACCCAGUGCAAUUCGUUGCACUAUCGUUAACUGAAUACAUAGGUUAACGAGGCGAACCGGGGGAACUGAAACAUCUAAGUACCCCGAGGAAAAGAAAUCAACCGAGAUUCCCCCAGUAGCGGCGAGCGAACGGGGAGCAGCCCAGAGUCUGAAUCAGCUUGUGUGUUAGUGGAACGGUCUGGAAAGUCCGACGGUACAGGGUGAUAGUCCCGUACACCAAAAUGCACAGGCUGUGAACUCGAAGAGUAGGGCGGGACACGUGGUAUCCUGUCUGAAUAUGGGGGGACCAUCCUCCAAGGCUAAAUACUCCUGACUGACCGAUAGUAAACCAGUACCGUGAGGGAAAGGCGAAAAGAACCCCGGCGAGGGGAGUGAAAAAGAACCUGAAACCGUGUACGUACAAGCAGUGGGAGCACCUUCGGGUGUGACUGCGUACCUUUUGUAUAAUGGGUCAGCGACUUAUAUUCUGUAGCAAGGUUAACCGUAUAGGGGAGCCGCAGGGAAACCGAGUCUUAACUGGGCGUUAAGUUGCAGGGUAUAGACCCGAAACCCGGUGAUCUAGCCAUGGGCAGGUUGAAGGUUGGGUAACACUAACUGGAGGACCGAACCGACUAAUGUUGAAAAAUUAGCGGAUGACUUGUGGCUGGGGGUGAAAGGCCAAUCAAACCGGGAGAUAGCUGGUUCUCCCCGAAAGCUAUUUAGGUAGCGCCUCGUGAAUUCAUCUUCGGGGGUAGAGCACUGUUUCGGCUAGGGGGUCAUCCCGACUUACCAACCCGAUGCAAACUACGAAUACCGAAGAAUGUUAUCACGGGAGACACACGGCGGGUGCUAACGUCCGUCGUGAAGAGGGAAACAACCCAGACCGCCAGCUAAGGUCCCAAAGUCAUGGUUAAGUGGGAAACGAUGUGGGAAGGCACAGACAGCCAGGAUGUUGGCUUAGAAGCAGCCAUCAUUUAAAGAAAGCGUAAUAGCUCACUGGUCGAGUCGGCCUGCGCGGAAGAUGUAACGGGGCUAAACCAUGCACCGAAGCUGCGGCAGCGACACUAUGUGUUGUUGGGUAGGGGAGCGUUCUGUAAGCCUGCGAAGGUGACCUGUGAGGGUUGCUGGAGGUAUCAGAAGUGCGAAUGCUGACAUAAGUAACGAUAAAGCGGGUGAAAAGCCCGCUCGCCGGAAGACCAAGGGUUCCUGUCCAACGUUAAUCGGGGCAGGGUGAGUCGACCCCUAAGGCGAGGCCGAAAGGCGUAGUCGAUGGGAAACAGGUUAAUAUUCCUGUACUUGGUGUUACUGCGAAGGGGGGACGGAGAAGGCUAUGUUAGCCGGGCGACGGUUGUCCCGGUUUAAGCAUGUAGGCUGGUUGUCCAGGCAAAUCCGGAUAAUCAAGGCUGAGGUGUGAUGACGAGGCACUACGGUGCUGAAGUAACAAAUGCCCUGCUUCCAGGAAAAGCCUCUAAGCAUCAGGUAACAUUAAAUCGUACCCCAAACCGACACAGGUGGUCAGGUAGAGAAUACCAAGGCGCUUGAGAGAACUCGGGUGAAGGAACUAGGCAAAAUGGUGCCGUAACUUCGGGAGAAGGCACGCUGGUGUGUAGGUGAAGUCCCUGCGGAUGGAGCUGAGACCAGUCGAAGAUACCAGCUGGCUGCAACUGUUUAUUAAAAACACAGCACUGUGCAAACACGAAAGUGGACGUAUACGGUGUGACGCCUGCCCGGUGCCGGAAGGUUAAUUGAUGGGGUUAUCCGUAAGGAGAAGCUCUUGAUCGAAGCCCCGGUAAACGGCGGCCGUAACUAUAACGGUCCUAAGGUAGCGAAAUUCCUUGUCGGGUAAGUUCCGACCUGCACGAAUGGCGUAAUGAUGGCCAGGCUGUCUCCACCCGAGACUCAGUGAAAUUGAACUCGCUGUGAAGAUGCAGUGUACCCGCGGCAAGACGGAAAGACCCCGUGAACCUUUACUAUAGCUUGACACUGAACAUUGAGCCUUGAUGUGUAGGAUAGGUGGGAGGCUUUGAAGCGUGGACGCCAGUCUGCGUGGAGCCAACCUUGAAAUACCACCCUUUAAUGUUUGAUGUUCUAACGUUGGCCCCUGACCGGGGUUGCGGACAGUGUCUGGUGGGUAGUUUGACUGGGGCGGUCUCCUCCCAAAGCGUAACGGAGGAGCACGAAGGUUAGCUAAUCCUGGUCGGACAUCAGGAGGUUAGUGCAAUGGCAUAAGCUAGCUUGACUGCGAGCGUGACGGCGCGAGCAGGUGCGAAAGCAGGUCAUAGUGAUCCGGUGGUUCUGAAUGGAAGGGCCAUCGCUCAACGGAUAAAAGGUACUCCGGGGAUAACAGGCUGAUACCGCCCAAGAGUUCAUAUCGACGGCGGUGUUUGGCACCUCGAUGUCGGCUCAUCACAUCCUGGGGCUGAAGUAGGUCCCAAGGGUAUGGCUGUUCGCCAUUUAAAGUGGUACGCGAGCUGGGUUUAGAACGUCGUGAGACAGUUCGGUCCCUAUCUGCCGUGGGCGCUGGAGAAUUGAGGGGGGCUGCUCCUAGUACGAGAGGACCGGAGUGGACGCAUCACUGGUGUUCGGGUUGUCAUGCCAAUGGCACUGCCCGGUAGCUAAAUGCGGAAGAGAUAAGUGCUGAAAGCAUCUAAGCACGAAACUUGCCCCGAGAUGAGUUCUCCCUGAGACUUUAAGUCUCCUGAAGGAACGUUGAAGACGACGACGUUGAUAGGCCGGGUGUGUAAGCGCAGCGAUGCGUUGAGCUAACCGGUACUAAUGAACCGUGAGGCUUAACCUU
RNAcentral lists this ribosomal RNA (2902 nucleotides) under Klebsiella pneumoniae. Its description in RNAcentral is "23S ribosomal RNA". It matches the Rfam family "Bacterial large subunit ribosomal RNA". The record is from RNAcentral. RNAcentral also lists the same sequence under 1 other name. Lineage: Bacteria; Pseudomonadati; Pseudomonadota; Gammaproteobacteria; Enterobacterales; Enterobacteriaceae.